AGAGUUUGAUCAUGGCUCAGAACGAACGCUGGCGGCAUGCCUAACACAUGCAAGUCGAACGAGGCCUUCGGGUCUAGUGGCGCACGGGUGAGUAGCGCGUGGGAACCUGCCCUUUGGUACGGAAUAUCCACGGGAAACUGUGGGCAAUACCGUAUACGCCCCUUGGGGGAAAGAUUUAUCGCCGAAGGAGGGGCCCGCGUCCGAUUAGGUAGUUGGUGGGGUAACGGCCUACCAAGCCCGCGAUCGGUAGCUGGUCUGAGAGGAUGAUCAGCCACACUGGGACUGAGACACGGCCCAGACUCCUACGGGAGGCAGCAGUGGGGAAUAUUGGACAAUGGGGGCAACCCUGAUCCAGCAAUGCCGCGUGAGUGAUGAAGGCCUUAGGGUUGUAAAGCUCUUUCACCCACGACGAUGAUGACGGUAGUGGGAGAAGAAGCCCCGGCUAACUUCGUGCCAGCCGCCGCGGUAAUUC
Molecule: ribosomal RNA, 472 nt
Filed under: uncultured bacterium
Lineage: Bacteria
Description: bacterial SSU rRNA
Rfam family: Bacterial small subunit ribosomal RNA
Source: RNAcentral